Molecule: ribosomal RNA, 495 nt
Filed under: uncultured bacterium
Lineage: Bacteria
Description: partial 16S ribosomal RNA
Rfam family: Bacterial small subunit ribosomal RNA
Source: RNAcentral
GAUGAACGCUGGCGGCGCGCUUAACACAUGCAAGUCGAACGAAGCACCUCUCCCGAAGAUUGACACAGCUUGCUGUAGAUUGAUUCAUUUGAGGUGACUGAGUGGCGGACGGGUGAGUAACGCGUGGGUAACCUGCCUCAUAGAGGGGGACAACAGUUGGAAACGACUGCUAAUACCGCAUAGUAAGAAGAAUUCGCAUGUUUUCUUCUUGAAAGAUUUAUCGCUAUGAGAUGGACCCGCGUCUGAUUAGCUAGUUGGUAAGGUAACGGCUUACCAAGGCGACGAUCAGUAGCCGGCUUGAGAGAGUGAACGGCCACAUUGGGACUGAGACACGGCCCAAACUCCUACGGGAGGCAGCAGUGGGGAAUAUUGCACAAUGGGGGAAACCCUGAUGCAGCGACGCCGCGUGAGUGAAGAAGUAUUUCGGUAUGUAAAGCUCUAUCAGCAGGGAAGAUAAUGACGGUACCUGACUAAGAAGCCCCGGCUAACUACGUG